Molecule: non-coding RNA, 30 nt
Filed under: Rattus norvegicus (Norway rat)
Lineage: Eukaryota; Metazoa; Chordata; Mammalia; Rodentia; Muridae
Source: RNAcentral
UGGAGCAAAUCGACCUUUUGAUACAGCAGC